CAUCCCAAUAUUUAUUUUUAAAGGCAUACAAAAUGACUGCUGUCUCGGAUUUUUCCCAGCUUGCAAUGCGGUCGAGACCUGACUCACUAGUCAGCUGAUGACAGGGAGCCUGUCUGCUUCAAUGGGUGGAGAGAGCAAUCUGCAAGUAAUGCAACAGCUGGAGGCACCCUGAUUGAAAACCACAGGACUGCUGUACCUUUAAGAGAGACCUGCAGAGGAGUCACGUGAUCAGCUGUGGCUAAUAGGGAUCUCCUGUCCCUGGGGAUAGAAACACAUUUUCCCCUUAGACCCACCAGACACAGGGGCCGCCGCCACCCACGGUCCUGUAAAUUCAAAGGCCCAAAAGGAACCGAGAGCAACCCAGCGGAAAUUCCCUUCAAAAAGAGAUAGAACAACCCAAUACGGAUGCUUUUGUAACACCUUAAACACCAUAGGGUCAUCAAGCUGUCUCCGAGCUUCUUUCAAAUACAUGCUCUUGUCCAUGACCACAACCCCACCACCAAAAUCCUUCUGGGAAAACAUCUUGUGGACAGAUAAGACCAAGAUAGAGCUUUUUGGUAAAGCACAUCAUUCUACUGUUUACCGUAAACGAAAUGAGGCCUACAAAGAAAAGAACACAGUACCUACAGUGAAAUAUGGUGGAGGCUCUGGUGAUGUUCUGGGGUCGUUUUGCUGCCUCUGGCACUGGGUGCCUUGAAUGUGUACAAGACAUCAUGAAAUCUGAGGAUUAUCAACGGAUUUUGGAUCACACUGUACAGCCCAGUGUCAGAAAGCUGGGUUUGUGUCUGAGAUCUUGGGUCUUCCAGCAGGACAAUGACCCCAUACAUACGUCAAAAAGCCCCAGAAAUGGAUGGCAACAAAGCGCUGGAGAGUUCUGAAGUGGCAGCAAUGAGUCCAGAUCUAAAUCCCAUUGAUCACCUGUGGAGAGAUCUGAAAAUUGCUGUUGGGAAAAGGCGCCUUCCAAUAAGAGAGACCUAGAGCAGUUUGUAAAGGAAGAGUGGCUUUUUUUCUUCCAUUUUUUGGUUUUGUUCAA
Hyla sarda is the source of this 1033-nucleotide long non-coding RNA. RefSeq lists it as uncharacterized. The record is from RefSeq and is a predicted model, not a curated record. Lineage: Eukaryota; Metazoa; Chordata; Amphibia; Anura; Hylidae. The transcript is spliced from 4 exons.